GGUUGGUGUGUCCAUUAAACUGUUCUGUCUUUGGUAGGCUAGGUGGUUACCAGGUUGGUGUGUCCAUUAAACUGUUCUGUCUUUGGUAGGCUAGGUGGUUACCAAGUUGGUGUGUCCAUUAAACUGUUCUGUCUUUGGUAGGCUAGGUGGUUACCAAGUUUGUGUGUCCAUUAAACUGUUCUGUCUUUGGUAGGCUAGGUGGUUACCAAGUUGGUGUGUCCAUUAAACUGUUCUGUCUUUGGUAGGCUAGGUGGUUACCAAGUUUGUGUGUCCAUCAGAAUCUCUUGACUUGUUCAACACAAUGAUGAGGGGGAUGGUUAGCAUCUCUUGUCUUGAUACAUUUAAAAAAAAUAUUUAAAACAUCCAAUAUACUUGCAGUGAAGCCACUCAACA
Molecule: long non-coding RNA, 393 nt
Organism: Oncorhynchus tshawytscha (Chinook salmon)
Lineage: Eukaryota; Metazoa; Chordata; Actinopteri; Salmoniformes; Salmonidae
Source: Ensembl